Molecule: ribosomal RNA, 500 nt
Filed under: uncultured bacterium
Lineage: Bacteria
Description: bacterial SSU rRNA
Rfam family: Bacterial small subunit ribosomal RNA
Source: RNAcentral
AACGAACGCUGGCGGCGCGCCUAAUACAUGCAAGUCGAGCGAGAAGACGUAGCAAUACGUUUGUAAAGCGGCGAACGGGUGAGGAAUACAUGGGUAACCUACCCUCGAGUGGGGAAUAACUAGCCGAAAGGUUAGCUAAUACCGCGUACGCUCCUUGGACUUCGGUUCAGGGAGGAAAGCGAUACCGUGGGUAUCGCGCUCUUGGAUGGGCUCAUGUCCUAUCAGCUUGUUGGUGAGGAACGGCUCACCAAGGCCUCGACGGGUAGCUGGUCUGAGAGGACGAUCAGCCACACUGGCACUGCGACACGGGCCAGACUCCUACGGGAGCAGCAGUAAGGAUAUUGCGCAAUGGGCGAAAGCCUGACGCAGCGACGCCGCGUGGGGGAUGAAGGUCUUCGGAUUUGUAAACCCCUUUCGGGAGGGAAGAUGGAACGAGCAAUCGUUCGGACGGUACCUCCAGAAGCAGCCACGGCUAACUUCGUGCCAGCAGCAGCCGCAGU